GCUCUUUGACAUAAUUGAUACAGGCGACAAUAAUAGAUAACUCACGUGGGUGCAAUGCCCACAUAGUGACUAACAAUACCGCUUGCAGGCUUAGACCUAUCGUGCUAAGCACUGAACGGCUUACGACCGCCCCCUGGACUUCGCAACGUCCCUGCAAGCAC
Molecule: non-coding RNA, 161 nt
Submitted as: unclassified sequences
Source: Rfam